GAUGAACGUAGCGAAAUGCGAUAAGUAAUGUGAAUUGCAGAAUUCAGUGAAUCAUCGAAUCUUUGAACGCACAUUGCGCCCGCUAGUAUUCUGGCGGGCAUGCCUGUCCGAGCGUCAUUUUAACCCUCAAGCCCCCGGGCUUGGUGUUGGGGAUCGGCGAGCCUCCGCGCCCGCCGUCCCCUAAAUCUAGUGGCGGUCUCGCUGUAGCUUCCUCUGCGUAGUAGCACACCUCGCACUGGGAAACAGCGCGGCCACGCCGUUAAACCCCCAACUUCUGAACGUUUGACCUCGGAUCAGGUAGGAAUACCCGCUGAACUUAAGCAUAUCAAUAAGCGGAGGA
RNAcentral lists this unclassified non-coding RNA (340 nucleotides) under soil metagenome. RNAcentral's name for it is "partial contains 5.8S ribosomal RNA, internal transcribed spacer 2, and large subunit ribosomal RNA". The stretch from base 1 to 117 matches the Rfam family "5.8S ribosomal RNA", at positions 38 to 154 of the family's 154-position model. The record is from RNAcentral.